Molecule: ribosomal RNA, 429 nt
Filed under: Bacteroidota bacterium
Lineage: Bacteria; Pseudomonadati; Bacteroidota
Description: Bacteroidetes bacterium partial 16S ribosomal RNA
Rfam family: Bacterial small subunit ribosomal RNA
Source: RNAcentral
UAGGGAAUCUUCCGCAAUGGACGCAAGUCUGACGGAGCAACGCCGCGUGAGUGAAGAAGGAUUUCGGUUCGUAAAACUCUGUUGUUAGAGAAGAACAGCGCAUAGAGUAACUGUUAUGCGUGUGACGGUAUCUAACCAGAAAGCCACGGCUAACUACGUGCCAGCAGCCGCGGUAAUACGUAGGUGGCAAGCGUUGUCCGGAUUUAUUGGGCGUAAAGCGAGCGCAGGCGGUCAAUUAAGUCUGAUGUGAAAGCCCCCGGCUCAACCGGGGAGGGUCAUUGGAAACGGGUUGACUUGUGUGCAGAAGAGGAACGUGGAAUUCCUUGUGUAGCGGUGAAAUGCGUAAAUAUAUGGAGGAACACCAGUUGCGAAGGCGACUGACUGGUCUAUAACUGACAAUAAGGCUCGAAAGCGUGGGUAGCGAACAGG